RNAcentral lists this ribosomal RNA (898 nucleotides) under uncultured marine archaeon. RNAcentral's name for it is "SSU rRNA". It matches the Rfam family "Archaeal small subunit ribosomal RNA", at positions 455 to 1354 of the family's 1478-position model. The record is from RNAcentral.
GUGCCAGCAGCCGCGGUAAUACCGGCAGCUCAAGUGGUCGUCGCUUUUAUUGGGCGUAAAACGUCCGUAGCCUGUAUGGUAAAUCUGUGGGUAAAUCAACCAGCUUAACUGGUUGAAUUCUGCAGAGACUGCCAGACUAGGGACCGGGAGAGGUGUGGGGUACUAUAGGGGUAGGGGUAAAAUCCUGUCAUCCUUAGAGGACCACCAGUUGCGAAGGCGCCACACUGGAACGGAUCCGACGGUCAGGGACGAAGCCUAGGGGCACGACCCGGAUUAGAUACCCGGGUAGUCCUAGGUGUAAACGCUGUGAACUUGGUGUCGGGGAUCCUCAAUUGGUCCUUGGUGACGUAGUGAAGAUGUCAAGUUCACUCCCUGGUAAGCACGGUGGCAAGGCUGAAACUUAAAGGAAUUGGCGGGGGAGCACAGCAACGAGAGGAGCGUGCGGUUUAAUUGGAUUCAACGCUGGAAAACUCACCAGUGCCGACGGACAUAUGAAGAUCAGCGUGAUGAGCUUAUUGGAUUGUUCGAGAGGUAGUGCAUGGCCGUCGUCAGUUCGUACCGUAAGGAGUUAUGUUAAGUCAGAUAACGAAAGAGACCCCUAUCGUCUAUUUGCUAAACGGAUCUCUGGAUUCGUCGCACUAUAGCGAGACCGCUGGCGUGAAGUCAGAGGAAGGUGGGGGCAACCACAGGUCAGUAUGCUCCGAAUGCACUGGGCUACACGCGCGCUACAAAGGCCAGGACAAUGGGUCUGCCACUUCGAAAGAAGGCGCUAUCCCGAAACCUGGUCGUAGUUCGGAUCGUGGGCUGUAAUUCGCCCUCGUGAAGCUGGAUUUCGUAGUAAUCGCGUCUCAAAAUGGCGCGGUGAAUAUGCCCUUGCUCCUUGCACACACCGCCCGUC